GGUCCCAUCGUCUAACGGUUAGGACACCAGAUUCUCAAUCUGGCAAUGCGGGUUCGAUUCCCGCUGGGAUCACCA
This 75-nucleotide transfer RNA is filed under the name bacterium. RNAcentral describes it as "tRNA-Glu". It matches the Rfam family "tRNA". From Rfam's summary of the family: Transfer RNA (tRNA) molecules are approximately 80 nucleotides in length. Their secondary structure includes four short double-helical elements and three loops (D, anti-codon, and T loops). The record is from RNAcentral. RNAcentral also lists the same sequence under 2 other names.